RNAcentral lists this ribosomal RNA (490 nucleotides) under uncultured bacterium. RNAcentral describes it as "partial 16S ribosomal RNA". It matches the Rfam family "Bacterial small subunit ribosomal RNA", at positions 29 to 507 of the family's 1533-position model. The record is from RNAcentral.
AGUGAACGCUGGCGGUAGGCCUAACACAUGCCAGUCGAACGGCAGCACAGGAGAGCUUGCUCUCUAGGUGGCGAGUGGCGGACGGGUGAGGAAUACAUCGGAAUCUGCCCAGUCGUGGGGGAUAACGUAGGGAAACUUACGCUAAUACCGCAUACGACCUUCGGGUGAAAGAGGGGGAUCGCAAGACCUCUCGCGAUUGGAUGAGCCGAUGUCGGAUUAGCUAGUUAGCGGGGUAAUGGCCCACCAAGGCGACGAUCCGUAGCUGGUCUGAGAGGAUGAUCAGCCACACUGGAACUGAGACACGGUCCAGACUCCUACGGGAGGCAGCAGUGGGGAAUAUUGGGCAAUGGGCGCAAGCCUGAUCCAGCCAUACCGCGUGGGUGAAGAAGGCCUUCGGGUUGUAAAGCCCUUUUGUUGGGAAAGAAAUCUUUCAGGCUAAUACCCUGGGAGGAUGACGGUACCCAAAGAAUAAGCACCGGCUAACUUCGUG